RNAcentral lists this ribosomal RNA (223 nucleotides) under uncultured bacterium. RNAcentral's name for it is "partial 16S ribosomal RNA". It matches the Rfam family "Bacterial small subunit ribosomal RNA", at positions 118 to 341 of the family's 1533-position model. The record is from RNAcentral.
UGAGCAAUCUGCCCUUCUCAUCGGAAUAAGCGUUGGAAACGACGUCUAAUGCCGAAUACGACCUCCUUUCGCAUGAUCGGAGGUGGAAAGCUCCGGCGGAGAAGGAUGAGCUCGCGGCCUAUCAGCUAGUUGGUGUGGGUAAUGGCCCACCAAGGCGACGACGGGUAGCCGGCCUGAGAGGGUGACCGGCCACACUGGGACUGAGACACGGCCCAGACUCCUA